CUGGCGACGAGUGGCGAACGGGUGAGUAAUGCAUCGGAACGUGCCCAGUCGUGGGGGAUAGCCCGGGGAAACCCGGAUUAAUACCGCAUACGACCUGAGGGUGAAGGCGGGGGACCGAAAGGCCUCGCGCGAUUGGAGCGGCCGAUGUCGGAUUAGGUAGUUGGUGGGGUAAAGGCCUACCAAGCCUGCGAUCCGUAGCUGGUCUGAGAGGACGACCAGCCACACUGGGACUGAGACACGGCCCAGACUCCUACGGGAGGCAGCAGUGGGGAAUUUUGGACAAUGGGGGCAACCCUGAUCCAGCCAUGCCGCGUGCGGGAAGAAGGCCUUCGGGUCGUAAACCGCUUUCAGCAGGAACGAAAAUGACGGUACCUGCAGAAGAAGGUGCGGCCAACUACGUGCCAGCAGCCGCGGUGACACGUAGGCACCAAGCGUUGUCCGGAUUUAUUGGGCGUAAAGAGCUCGUAGGCGGUUCAGCAAGUCGGGUGUGAAAACUCUGGGCUCAACCCAGAGCCUGCACCCGAAACUGCUGUGACUAGAGUUCGGUAGGGGAGCGGGGAAUUCCUAGUGUAGCGGUGAAAUGCGCAGAUAUUAGGAGGAACACCGGUGGCGAAGGCGCCGCUCUGGGCCGAAACUGACGCUGAGGAGCGAAAGCGUGGGUAGCAAACAGGAUUAGAUACCCUGGUAGUCCACGCCGUAAACGUUGGGCACUA
Molecule: ribosomal RNA, 713 nt
Filed under: uncultured bacterium
Lineage: Bacteria
Description: bacterial SSU rRNA
Rfam family: Bacterial small subunit ribosomal RNA
Source: RNAcentral